Molecule: ribosomal RNA, 548 nt
Filed under: uncultured bacterium
Lineage: Bacteria
Description: bacterial SSU rRNA
Rfam family: Bacterial small subunit ribosomal RNA
Source: RNAcentral
AAUAGAUACCCCGGUAGUCCACCCCGUAAACGUUGGGAACUAGUUGUGGGGUCCUUUCCACGGAUUCCGUGACGCAGCUAACGCAUUAAGUUCCCCGCCUGGGGAGUACGGCCGCAAGGCUAAAACUCAAAGGAAUUGACGGGGACCCGCACAAGCGGCGGAGCAUGCGGAUUAAUUCGAUGCAACGCGAAGAACCUUACCAAGGCUUGACAUACACCAGAACACCCUAGAAAUAGGGGACUCUUUGGACACUGGUGAACAGGUGGUGCAUGGUUGUCGUCAGCUCGUGUCGUGAGAUGUUGGGUUAAGUCCCGCAACGAGUGCAACCCUCGUUCUAUGUUGCCAGCACGUAAUGGUGGGAACUCAUGGGAUACUGCCGGGGUCAACUCGGAGGAAGGUGGGGAUGACGUCAAAUCAUCAUGCCCCUUAUGUCUUGGGCUUCACGCAUGCUACAAUGGCCGGUACAAAGGGCUGCAAUACCGGUGAGGUGGAGCGAAUCCCAAAAAGCCGGUCCCAGUUCGGAUUGAGGUCUGCAACUCGACCUCAUG